GAACCAGUACCGUGAGGGAAAGGCGAAAAGAACCCCGGCGAGGGGAGUGAAAAAGAACCUGAAACCGUGUACGUACAAGCAGUGGGAGCACAGGUUUACCUGUGUGACUGCGUACCUUUUGUAUAAUGGGUCAGCGACUUAUAUUCUGUAGCAAGGUUAACCGUAUAGGGGAGCCGUAGGGAAACCGAGUCUUAACCGGGCGUUAAGUUGCAGGGUAUAGACCCGAAACCCGGUGAUCUAGCCAUGGGCAGGUUGAAGGUUGGGUAACACUAACUGGAGGACCGAACCGACUAAUGUUGAAAAAUUAGCGGAUGACCUGUGGCUGGGGGUGAAAGGCCAAUCAAACCGGGAGAUAGCUGGUUCUCCCCGAAAGCUAUUUAGGUAGCGCCUCGUGAAUUCAUCUCCGGGGGUAGAGCACUGUUUCGGCUAGGGGGCCAUCCCGGCUUACCAACCCGAUGCAAACUGCGAAUACCGGAGAAUGUUAUCACGGGAGACACACGGCGGGUGCUAACGUCCGUCGUGAAGAGGGAAACAACCCAGACCGCCAGCUAAGGUCCCAAAGUCAUGGUUAAGUGGGAAACGAUGUGGGAAGGCCCAGACAGCCAGGAUGUUGGCUUAGAAGCAGCCAUCAUUUAAAGAAAGCGUAAUAGCUCACUGGUCGAGUCGGCCUGCGCGGAAGAUGUAACGGGGCUAAACCAU
This 699-nucleotide ribosomal RNA is filed under the name Salmonella enterica. RNAcentral describes it as "partial 23S ribosomal RNA". It matches the Rfam family "Bacterial large subunit ribosomal RNA", at positions 492 to 1190 of the family's 2925-position model. The record is from RNAcentral. Lineage: Bacteria; Pseudomonadati; Pseudomonadota; Gammaproteobacteria; Enterobacterales; Enterobacteriaceae.